UACAGAGGGUGCGAGCGUUAAUCGGAAUUACUGGGCGUAAAGCGUGCGUAGACGGUAGCGUAAGUCAGAUGUGAAAGCCCCGGGCUCGACCUGGGAACUGCAUUUGAGACUGCUCUGCUCGGGUGCGGAAGAGGGAAGCGGAAUUUCCGGUGUAGCGGUGAAAUGCGUAGAUAUCGGAAGGAACACCAGUGGCGAAAGCGGCUUCCUGAUCCGACACCGACGUUCAGGCACGAAAGCGUGGGGAGCAAACAGG
RNAcentral lists this ribosomal RNA (253 nucleotides) under uncultured bacterium. RNAcentral describes it as "partial 16S ribosomal RNA". It matches the Rfam family "Bacterial small subunit ribosomal RNA", at positions 524 to 776 of the family's 1533-position model. The record is from RNAcentral.